GGCAGAGUGGCAGAGUGGUAAGGAGCAGGGCUUGUGACUGAGAGGUUGCUGGUUCAAUUCCCCUGCUCCUGUGCCA
Molecule: non-coding RNA, 76 nt
Organism: Megalops atlanticus (tarpon)
Lineage: Eukaryota; Metazoa; Chordata; Actinopteri; Elopiformes; Megalopidae
Source: the annotation of a GenBank genome assembly